GAUGAAGAACGUAGCGAAAUGCGAUAAGUAAUGUGAAUUGCAGAAUUCCGUGAAUCAUCGAGUCUUUGAACGCAAGUUGCGCCCGAAGCCAUCAGGUUGAGGGCACGUCUGCCUGGGCGUCAUAUAUCGUUGCCCAAUGCCUAUUGCAGUGCAAUAGGAAUUUCUAGGGCGAAUGAUGGCUUCCCGUGAGCGUUGUUGCCUCGCGGUUGGUUGAAAAUCGAGUCCUUGGUAGGGUGUGCCAUGGUAGAUGGUGGUCGAGUUAGAACGAUACCGAUCAUGUGCAUGCUCCCCAAAAUAUGGCCUCUAUGACCCACACGCGUCUUUUGACGCUCAUGACGAGACCUCAGGUCAGGCGGGGCUACCCGCUGAAUUUAAGCAUAUCAAUAAGCGGAGGA
This 395-nucleotide unclassified non-coding RNA is filed under the name soil metagenome. RNAcentral's name for it is "partial contains 5.8S ribosomal RNA, internal transcribed spacer 2, and large subunit ribosomal RNA". The stretch from base 1 to 122 matches the Rfam family "5.8S ribosomal RNA", at positions 35 to 154 of the family's 154-position model. The record is from RNAcentral.